GCACCCAAUGGACGGGAUUCCUGUAAAUCCUUCACAGUUUGUGACUCGAGUGCAGGUCUAAGAGUGAAGAGGGCGUGCAGCUCCACUUCAGACACACUCUGUGAGCCUCUGGAAGGUCACUACUGUACUGACCCAAUCAAAGAUGGCUGCCGAGGAGCUGUGCAACACACAAAGUGCUCACCAGGGCAGUACAUCAACCAGACAGGUACAGCAUCCACAGAUACUGUGUGUGGUGACUGUGUAGGCGACACAUACUCAAAUGGAUCAUUCACAUCCUGCAGACCACACACACGGUGUGAGUUGAUUGGACUUGUUGUCCUAAAAGAAGGAUCAUCUUCUUAUGACACUGAUUGUGGUCAAA
Long non-coding RNA from Clupea harengus (Atlantic herring), 361 nucleotides. RefSeq lists it as uncharacterized. The record is from RefSeq and is a predicted model, not a curated record. Lineage: Eukaryota; Metazoa; Chordata; Actinopteri; Clupeiformes; Clupeidae. The transcript has 4 exons.